Molecule: transfer RNA, 76 nt
Filed under: Clostridioides difficile
Lineage: Bacteria; Bacillati; Bacillota; Clostridia; Peptostreptococcales; Peptostreptococcaceae
Description: tRNA-Met
Rfam family: tRNA
About the family: Transfer RNA (tRNA) molecules are approximately 80 nucleotides in length. Their secondary structure includes four short double-helical elements and three loops (D, anti-codon, and T loops).
Source: RNAcentral
CGCGGUGUGGAGCAGUUGGCAGCUCGUCGGGCUCAUAACCCGAAGGUCGUAGGUUCAAGUCCUGCCUCCGCAACCA